RNAcentral lists this ribosomal RNA (1083 nucleotides) under Streptococcus thermophilus TH982. RNAcentral describes it as "bacterial LSU rRNA". It matches the Rfam family "Bacterial large subunit ribosomal RNA", at positions 296 to 1388 of the family's 2925-position model. The record is from RNAcentral. Lineage: Bacteria; Bacillati; Bacillota; Bacilli; Lactobacillales; Streptococcaceae.
UGUAGGACUGCAACGUGGACUUAAAGAUUAUAGAAGAACUACCUGGGAAGGUAGGCCAAAGAGAGUAAUAGCCUCGUAUUCGAAAUAGUCUUUAUACCUAGCAGUAUCCUGAGUACGGCGAGACACGAGAAAUCUCGUCGGAAUCUGGGAGGACCAUCUCCCAACCCUAAAUACUCUCUAGUGACCGAUAGUGAACCAGUACCGUGAGGGAAAGGUGAAAAGCACCCCGGGAGGGGAGUGAAAUAGAACCUGAAACCGUGUGCCUACAACAAGUUCGAGCCCGUUAAUGGGUGAGAGCGUGCCUUUUGUAGAAUGAACCGGCGAGUUACGAUAUGAUGCGAGGUUAAGUUGAAGAGACGGAGCCGUAGGGAAACCGAGUCUUAAUAGGGCGCAUUAGUAUCAUGUCGUAGACCCGAAACCAUGUGACCUACCCAUGAGCAGGUUGAAGGUGAGGUAAAACUCACUGGAGGACCGAACCAGGGCACGUUGAAAAGUGCUUGGAUGACUUGUGGGUAGCGGAGAAAUUCCAAACGAACUUGGAGAUAGCUGGUUCUCUCCGAAAUAGCUUUAGGGCUAGCGUCGAUGUUAAGUCUCUUGGAGGUAGAGCACUGUUUGGGUGAGGGGUCCAUCCCGGAUUACCAAUCUCAGAUAAACUCCGAAUGCCAAUGAGAUAUAAUCGGCAGUCAGACUGCGAGUGCUAAGAUCCGUAGUCGAAAGGGAAACAGCCCAGACCACCAGCUAAGGUCCCAAAAUAUAUGUUAAGUGGAAAAGGAUGUGGGGUUGCACAGACAACUAGGAUGUUAGCUUAGAAGCAGCUAUUCAUUCAAAGAGUGCGUAAUAGCUCACUAGUCGAGUGACCCUGCGCCGAAAAUGUACCGGGGCUAAAACAUAUUACCGAAGCUGUGGAUACCUUUAUAGGUAUGGUAGGAGAGCGUUCUAUGUGCGAAGAAGGUGUACCGUGAGGAGUGCUGGAGCGCAUAGAAGUGAGAAUGCCGGUAUGAGUAGCGAAAGACAGGUGAGAAUCCUGUCCACCGUAAGACUAAGGUUUCCAGGGGAAGGCUCGUCCGCCCUGGGUUAGUCGGG